This is a long non-coding RNA of Bombus huntii, 751 nucleotides long. RefSeq lists it as uncharacterized. The transcript is spliced from 2 exons. NCBI's taxonomy places the organism in Eukaryota, Metazoa, Arthropoda, Insecta, Hymenoptera, Apidae. The record is from RefSeq and is a predicted model, not a curated record.
CAAGGAAACACCGCAAAGUGAGAACAAUAAAAGGGGUGCAUUCACCGAGAGACGACUAUACACGGCUAUGACUACAACAAUCAGCAUAUAGAUUGCGAUCGCUCGCUUUCUACCGAGAAACUUAGUCUCCCGCUCUCUUUGUUCGAUCAAGAAGCCAGGAAAAGCCAGGGAAACAGUCGAAAUGGGAGAAACAAAAGAGUCCUCAGCUCUGUUUCUUUCGCAAGAUGACUUCGCCACUGUUUUAAAUUUUAAAAGCCCGCGCUCCUUCAAGAAUCACGAACAAUGCGACUGCAGUUUGUUUCCUGUAGCCUUUCGGCUGCAUUUUCGCAAUUCCUUCCGAAAAAUCAGGCUACGCGUGGUUUCCCGCUUAAAACACUACCUAAAUCAUCAAUUCGCAAGCGCAAACUGGAUCUCCAUUAACGAUUAUCCCUUUUCUUACUGGAGUGUUUAUGUUCUUCGUCAAUAUUUCCGGAAUGGACAACGUACACUGACUCACGAGGGCUUUCAAAGAAUCUGGAAAAUUCUGGGAUAUUUACACUUAAGUAGCGUGGCGCGAUCAGAUCGCUGAUAAUAGCACCAGGCUGCGGAUAUUUAUAGAGAUAAGCAUUUUUGUGGAAAAAUGGAACCUAAGUAAAAAUUUUGUUCAUCUGCUAAAUAUUACAUCGAACUUUAGGUAUUUUAUAAAUGUUUGAAUCUUUGAAGUUCGCAUAAGUAUGUAUUAUACAUAAAAUACAUAGAAUUUGGCUAACAA